AUGCUUUUUUCCCAAUUGCUACUUCUCACAGCUUCUAUUUGUUCUGGUGUACACAUACAGAGAGACUGAAAGCGAAAAAGGAGUGAUUGCUCUGCAUCUGAGUUUGAGUUUGUUUUGGUUUGGUUGGUGAAAUUUGAAGUUUAGUGAUCUUGUUGGAAAGCGGUCUGCAAGCAGAAGAGAAACAAUUAAUUCUUGGCAUUUUCAGCCAGAACAUAUCAAACUCCAGUCCUGGGGGAAGUUCAAGCAAAGGCACAGUUAGAUAAGGAAUAGGGGUUGAAUUUGGAGCUGCAGUCAUGCUUUGACAGGUAAAGACUUGAGCUAUUAUUUCAUGGGUAUGUAAUUGUUUUGCAUGAAAAAGAAACACAGAAGCUAUCAUUGUUGAAUGACGAGUGAUUGAUCUAUGUUGGUAGGGAGAUAUGUAUGAAUUGGAGGAAAGAUAUGAACACAAUUAGUAUUGCUAUCAAAGUUUGGCAUACAUGCUUAUAUAUAGAUGUGUUUCUUUGAUAUAGAUUUAUUCCUGGGACUGCAGAAGUAGGAUUGCUGCUGUACAUGAAAAAA
Molecule: long non-coding RNA, 558 nt
Organism: Rosa rugosa (rugosa rose)
Lineage: Eukaryota; Viridiplantae; Streptophyta; Magnoliopsida; Rosales; Rosaceae
Exons: 3
Source: RefSeq, a predicted model, not a curated record